ACUCUAGUCUGGCACUGUGAAGAGACAUGAGAGGUGUAGAAUAAGUGGGAGGCCCCGGCCGCCGGUGAAAUACCACUACUCUUAUUGUUUUUCGCGCCGGGUGCAACCCGCUCCGGGGACAGUGGCAGGUGGGGAUUUUGCCUGGGGCGGUACACUUGUCAAAUGGUAACGCAGGUGUCCUAAGGCGAGCUUAGGGAGGACAGAAAUUUCCUGUGGAGCAGAAGGGUAAAAGCUUGCUUGAUCUUGAAUACAGACCGUGAAAGUGGGGCCUCACGAUCCUUCUGAAUUUUUGGUCAAAGGGCUAUUUUUGGUCAAAUAGCCCUUACAUAGCCUGGAGUUGU
This 341-nucleotide non-coding RNA is filed under the name Salmo salar (Atlantic salmon). RNAcentral describes it as "Eukaryotic large subunit ribosomal RNA". It matches the Rfam family "Eukaryotic large subunit ribosomal RNA", at positions 2425 to 2806 of the family's 3401-position model. Lineage: Eukaryota; Metazoa; Chordata; Actinopteri; Salmoniformes; Salmonidae. The record is from Rfam by way of RNAcentral.